This 509-nucleotide ribosomal RNA is filed under the name uncultured Bacteroidales bacterium. RNAcentral describes it as "bacterial SSU rRNA". It matches the Rfam family "Bacterial small subunit ribosomal RNA", at positions 8 to 507 of the family's 1533-position model. The record is from RNAcentral. Lineage: Bacteria; Pseudomonadati; Bacteroidota; Bacteroidia; Bacteroidales.
AGAGUUUGAUCCUGGCUCAGGAUGAACGCUAGCGGCAGGCUUAACACAUGCAAGUCGAGGGGCAUCGGGAGGGAAGCUUGCUUUCCUUGCCGGCGACCGGCGCACGGGUGAGUAACACGUAUGCAACCUGCCCUCUUCAGGGGGACAACCUUCCGAAAGGGAGGCUAAUCCCGCGUAUAUCGGUUUCGGGCAUCCGAGAUCGAGGAAAGAUUCAUCGGAAGAGGAUGGGCAUGCGGCGCAUUAGCUUGACGGCGGGGUAACGGCCCACCGUGGCGACGAUGCGUAGGGGUUCUGAGAGGAAGGUCCCCCACACUGGUACUGAGACACGGGCCAGACUCCUACGGGAGGCAGCAGUGAGGAAUAUUGGUCAAUGGGAGAGAUCCUGAACCAGCCAAGCCGCGUGAGGGAAGACGGCCCUAUGGGUUGUAAACCUCUUUUGUCGGAGAACAAAACCCGGGACGUGUCCCGGACUGCGUGUAUCCGAAGAAAAAGCAUCGGCUAACUCCGUG